UAAUUUAUAAUUAUCCUAAUUCUAGGGUUAUCCCCCUUUAUAUCCAAACGCUAAUUUUUUUAUCCAAGAAUAGUAGUUCUCGGUUAUCCUGACCAACACCUUUAUUUUCUAUAUAAAACUACUUAAAAUUGUUUUUAUCCCCGGAAACAACCCAAUUUUCAUCCAAACACUAUUUUUUUUAUCCCCAUACUUAUAUCUAUUCCUGUAACAGCUAGUUCUUGCUUAUACCCGAACCAAACGGUUAGACGAGUCAAAUUAAUUACUGGCAAUCUACAAUUGGUCAAUUCCUUUUUGGAGUCCUAUUCUAUGUUCUAAUUAUUCUCAAGUUUGGAUUGGAUUCUUAAGCUGAGGCUAUAUAUACACGAAUGGCUAUUCUUUGUGGGUGUGCUUUAUAUGAGAUUAAUUAAGUGUGCGUUUCAGAGGCUUAGUUUGGUAUUGAGCUGGAUCUAAUACUAUUAAAUAAAAUGGAGUUGAGGAAACGCAUAUAAGAAUAUGCUUUUGCGUUCUCCGAUAAAAAUUCAGAAAAUAUAUCGUAACCCAUUAACCGUAAUAUGCAGAACGCAAUAUUAUGUACGAAAACAAAUAAAAUAUUUUUCUAUCGUUGUUUCUCCCCGCAACAGUGCGUGUUGAAAAGGCCGAGCGAGCCGGGCUUGUUGGUGCGCACGCUAAAUCUCAGGUCGGUAAGAGGCUGAGCCGAUUAAUCUGACUGUACGGACGCAGCUUGAUAAUUCGUCCAUACAUUGUGGUGUGGUUUAGAUAUAUUUUAGAUUUGGGUAUUUGAGAGAGAUAUUAAUUUUGUAUUUUAUCUUUGACAGUAAUAAAGUUUUACUUCAUCUUCGUCCGUGAAUAUUUGCUGGUGGUCAAACCACAUAAACAUUGUACUUUUCAUUUUUUUUCUCUAUUUUUUCGAUUCUUUUUUGGUAUUUUAUGCCUGAUAAAUUAAAUCUUUUUGGCUUUUACCACAAUAGGCCUUGAUGGAGGAAAUUUAUACUAAUUGGAUUCAAAUUUCUUACUCAAAAAUAUAUCUUUCAUUUGCUUAAUUAGUAACAAUCGCACGAUUUAAUUAGAACCCGCUGAAAGAGUGAAGUUACUUUUUGUCUAUUAUUAUAGAAAAUAGUUACGUCAUCUACAUUAUAGGACUAAUUAGUUUAGUUAUUUUAUUUCGUUUCGUAUAAUUACAACUUCUAUAAUUAUAUAUAUGCACAUAAGCAUAUAUAUAUAUAUAUAGAGAGAGAGAGAGAGAGAGAGAGAGAGAAGGUCUUGUGCGCUAUUAGAAGUAUAGAGACCUCCGAUUUUGAUGAUGGGAUUUUCAAAUAGACAAUCGGCUUUGUUAGACUUAAUCUAGCGUAUUUAAACUAUUUUGAAAAUAAAUUUUGCAGUUUUUCGAUAUUAUUUACCUAGUAAUCGAAAUAAUUCAAAAUCAACGAAUGAAAAUAAAAAUAUCAUAAAAUAUUAUGAUGUAGCACUAAAAUUUUCGAUCAUAAAUAUUGAUCUUGUUGUAGAUAAUAUAAAUAAUUUUUUAUCAAAAUUUUAUAUGAUUUGAAUACUUCUACACCGUUAAACUUGCAAAAUAUCAGCCGUUAAAAAUUGAUGAUUAUAUAACACUUAUACUACAUCAUUAUUAAUUCGCUAAUCAUAUCAUUUUUUAGGAAAAAAGUACAAUAAAAAUAUUUUUUUAAUAAUCAUCAAAAGAAAAUAAUCUAAUUAGUUGGAGACGCCACAUCGGCAAUAUAAUUGGUGUAUUCUAGACUUUUUCCUUAUUUAUAGUGUUUGUGUUAUUUUAAAAAUUAUUUUGGUAUAAAUUUAAUUUGCUCUCUUGUGAUUUAGCUCAUUUUUAGUAUAUUACCCACAAAGUUGCACUAGUUAUUUUGUGAUUAUAUUUAUUUUUAUCUAAAAAAUAUACUAUCACAUAGAAUAGCUAAGUAAAUUUUUUUAAUAAUUAAAUGUAAUUUUUGAGUUCACAAGAUGAUAAAAAAAUAAUAAGCUAAAUUAUAGGAUGUUAAGUAUAACUUUUUGAAGCACGCAAUGGUAAAAUAAAAAUAAGCUAAGCCAUAGGGCAGCAAUUUUAAGUUAAUUAGUAGGGCAGCAAUUUUAAGUUAAUUAGUAUUCUAUUCGGAUGCAUGAAUAUUUUAUUUCAAAUAUCAUUCUAAUUUACACAAGAAGCACUUAAGAGUAUAUAUGGGCAAAUAUCUAGAAUAGAUACUAUAUUCAUUCUUUAACUUAUUUAUCAGAAUACAAUUAAUCAUCUUAUAGGUACAAAUAUGUUAUCCUAACAAAUUAUAAAUAAUAAAAUAUUUUAAAUAAAAAAUUAAAAUUUUAAUUUCUAAUUAUAUAAAAAAAUCUUUACAUCAAAUAAAUAUCUGAAAUAAGAUUUUAAAGUAUCAAAAUAUAAGUUAAACAUUAUUCAUGUUACACCAUUUUCUUUUUUAUGUGAAGGAAAGAUAUUAAGCUAUCUAUUUUAUUAAUUUCUUUUAAAAAAUAAACUAAUUUAGAAAUGUAAAAGAACUAGUUUUCAAACUUAAUAUCUCAGAUGCCAACUAUCAGUUAGAAUGUGUCACAUACUGUAAAGCACUUUUCGGCCCAUUGAACCUUUAUGAAGUUGCACUUCUGUUAAAGUUGGUUGAUUUUUUAUUUAUUUCUUUAUUAAAAGAUAAAAAUAUAUUGAAUUUAUCUGAAUUAUGAAUUAUUUUGAGUUAGCUAUGGAUAUUUCAAAAUUUUAAUUUUACAAUCUUAUCUUUUAAUUUGUUUGACCAAGUCAGUCAACGAUAUUUUUACUUCAAAAAUUUAAGCUAAUUAUUUAUUUUAAUAAAUUUAUAGCUGCGAGAAUUGUAUGAAGUAUGUUAACAAAAUCUGUAAGAAUAAACGACGGAUUCAAAAUACUCCUUAGUUUAAGUAAGUUCUAUAUGUUUUUACCAAAUUAAAAUUUUCAAAUAACUUUUUGUAUCAAUAAAAAAUAAAACAAAAAUUUAUAUUGGAGCUUAUGUUUUCAAUAAAUAAAUUUUAAAAAUUAGGGGCCUUUGUUUAUAUACAAUUCACUACUAUUCAAAACUUUUAAAUUUACCCAUCUAUUUUCAAAAGUACCCUUAAGGAAUUUUUCAAAACUCCAUGGUCAACUCAAGAUAAAUUAGAUAUUUUUGAAAUUCUGCCAUAUCAUUCCUAAUAAUUAAUAUCUUAAUUUUAUUUCUUAAAUGACGGAUUACUGCUCUAAUAACGGUGUUCAAGAUUUAUCCAAGCUAAAUAUUUGUCUGGGAAUGAUCAAAUUUGUUAAUCAAUGGAUUUUUCUUUUCGAAAAAAAAUUAUAGAAUAAUUUUCCAUGCAUAAUUAUAAAAGAGAAGAAGAGAAAAUAAAGCGAAACACUAUAGAGAUAACUAUGAUUGCUCCUCGACCAUUAAGAUUAUAAUACAAAUUUGUAUAGUCUUGAUACUUUGUGUGAAAAUUUUAUUUUAUUUUAUUUAAAUAUAAAAUUAUUUAAAUAUUAUUUUUUAUUAGUUUAAAUUUUUAGAAUAAAAUGGUUGUUUCGUAUUAUUUUGAUAUGGUAUUAGAAUUGAAGAUUCUGAAUUCAAGUUAUUAAUUUAAGUCCACAUCAUGAGCCUAAUGAAAAGUUUCGAGUUUAGACGUGAGGGAAAGUGUUAAAUAUAAAAAAAUUUAAACAUCGUUCUUUACUAGUUUAAGUUUUUAGAGUGCAACAGUAGUUUCAUUUCAUUUAACAGUUGUUUUGGUUUUAAAGGUGCCUACAAGCUUCCCAUAAUAUAGUUUUGGAUAUAUAUUUGUGUAUAUUCACUCUGAAUAUAGUUUUAUGAGUAAUACUUCAAUACACCAUAUAAAUUUUGACCAUUUAUUUUUCUUAAUAGGUGGUUUAGAUUUAAUAUAAAUCUAGAGGUGACCUACUAUUGAAGCAUUGGUAUCAUUCACCAGGCACCUAUUUAAAGGGUAUUUUGGUCUUUGUAAAAUAUUAUGGUCUACAAAACCAGUUUUAUCCAACUAAGAAUACUGUGAUCUUUUCAAAAGCCUAUGGUAGUUGGAUUUCAAAUUACAACCAAAUUGUAAAUUUAAAUUCAAAACAACAUUUAAAACUUAAUUAUAAAUCAAAUUCAAUUUUUUUAAAUAUAAAACACAAAUUUAAAAUAAAGCUUUCAGUUCCAAUUUAAAAUUUCAAUUUAAAUCAAAAAUUAAAUUUUGGCUUUAAGAUUAAAAAUUCAAUUUAGAUUCAAAUUUAAAAGUUUAAUAUAAAUUUCAAGAUUAAAAUUUUAUAUUACAAUACCAACUUCAAAAAUUAAAUUUAGAUUUAAUAUUUUUUGAGCCGGAUACUUAACAAAUUGGGUAUUAUCUAAUUUGGUAAGUUACCAAAGUAAAUAAAAUAUUUAAUAUUUAUAGGAUGGUGACAAAUUUGGUAUAUACUACUAUUUUUUUUUUCCAAUAUUGUUAUAUUAACUAAUUCAAAUCGGUAACCUGCUCAACAGGUUAUGUCAUGUAAAAUCCAAUUAUACUCUUUACUAAUUAAAGAAUUAGAUUUUAAUAUUUAUGGUGUAUUGAAGCAUUCCUCUAGUUUUAUUAAUCAAUGUGGAUUUUUUUUUUUAUGCUAUUUGUUGCUUGUAAUAUCACAUAUGAUUGUCGACACAUUAAUAGUCUUUAAAAAUAUGUAUAUAGGAGCAGUAAUUUUAUGAAUCUAAACCUACAAGUUAUUGAAACUGGAUGAACGAAUUAGAACGCAACCUAGACAAUGACGUACACAAUUUGAUUAGAAAAAUCUUAAUUAAGAAAGAAGGAAACAAGGGGAAUAAGAUAAUUAAUUACAAGAUGACGUCACAUGAUAUCAAUUAAUUCUUCAACAAGGCCCAAGUAUAAUUUGCCCAAUGGCCUUGAUGCAGGAAACUUACCCUAAUUGGAUUAAAGUUUUUUAGACAAAAAUAUAUCUUCAUUGCUUAGGUUAAAUCACAUGAUUUAGAACUUGCCGAAAGAGUGAAGUUAAUUUUUGUCUAUUAUUAUAGAUAAUUGUUAAUUACGAGACUGUUUGGUUCACUCAUUUUACUUGGUUUCGUAUAGCUACAACUGCUACAGUUAUGUAUAUUUAUUCUCUUUGGUAGUUUGAAAAUGUCUCUAAUUUCUCACCAGUUGGGUGAUUCGUUUUUUUCCCAACUAUUGAUAUAUGGGUGGAGUUGGAGUUAAUUUGAGUAUAAUUCCAAUUAUAUAGUAGUUAGACUCAAAUAUACUAAGCCUGGACACCUAUUUAAAUUUAUGUACAAUUAAAACUAUAAAUAAGUAGUUGUGUGCAGUCAAAUAGCCUCUAUACUGAACAUACAUUAUAGACGGUCACGAUAAUGUAUGAAAAUGUACCUCUCAAAAGAAGAGAUAAAAAAAAAAAAAAACUUUUUAUACACUCAAGAAAAAGGGUGUAGAUCUUACCCCUCACAAUUUAGGGCUGACAGAAUCCAAAUAAUUUUUAAUAAAAAAAAAUGAUGUGAUAAGUAAAGUAUUAAUGACCUUGGAAUAGAGUGGGAGUAAAAUAUACACCUAACUAUGGGGUGUACUGGUAUCAUUGCUCACAAGAAAAUAGCCUCAUAAUUGGUAGCAAAGAUUAUAGCUGCAGUAUAUAUAAUUUUUCUUACAAUAUUUCUCCAAUUUGGAAUUAAAAAGAAAAACUCGUUAGCAAAGUGUAAAUUUCCAGUCAAAUUGGAAAAAAAAGAAGAAGAAAAUUCCAAUUCAAAAUGAAUUGAGCUUUGAAGAGGUUAAUGGCAACAAAAUUUAUUGUGCAUCUCAUAAAAAAGCAGAGAGGGCUGAAAUUACUUUUAAGCUGUAAUUAAAUGCUUAAUUUCAUUGCUUUUGUAAACAAUAUUUGCCCGCAACUCUACUUUUUCAAAAAAUGCGGUUAUUAAUUUUGUCCUGAGUGAUUAUGAAGUCACUUACAAGAUAGAUAGAGAUGAAAAAAAUAAUCAAAAAAACAUAUCUGCUGUAACUUUUUUUUUUUUUUUCCCUUUUAUAUACUAGUGUGAAAUUUUUUUCAAAAAAUAAAUAAAAAAGGGGAUAAUUGUAUUUCUAAAGCCAUUGACUUUUAUCAUGGAACGGUGGUAGAAAAAAUAUUAUUCUUUUGAAUUUCAGGACCAGUAAAAAUCAUUUUUAACGUGAGAAUCGAUUACUUAUCAGCAAACAAACAGGCCCUUCAAGUUGGAAUAUCAUGCAUGGCACAUUUCCACGACUUUGAGUAAUUGCAAGAGCUCAAUAUUUUUGUUCCACCCACUGGCUAUAAGGUGAUGCCUUGGUAUUGAAUACAUUUUCUUUCAAUACUUUAGCACACUUUCUUAAAAAAAUAUAUAUAAUAAAAUAAGAAUAAAAAAACCAUAUCAAGAGUAGUCCUUCAUAUUUGGUACAAGUGAGAAAUUUUUGGCAGCAUAUAGAAAAGAGAAUUCUGAUUUUAUUUAGCAAAAUUGAUUAAUUUUCAGAUCAUUACAUUUUAGCCAUCAGUUGCGCUUAUUUUUGACAUCUUUUUCUUAAGUCUUGCAAACCAUACUCUAGAGGUUACAUAGAGAGUAUCAUACAAACUGUCUACAUAUUGGAACCACCAAAUCCUAAAUCUUUUAUUAACCAACAGGGCUCCAGUAAUAGGCCAAAAUCCAACUGCAAAUCCUGCUAUUGUAAUAAGGCAAAGGAGUAAGAUCUCUUUUCGAUUUUCAUCUGCCUUUUUUGAAACAUCAGAUCCUGCACGACCAUUAACAGUCGGUGGAGUACGACUUAACUGGCCAAUUGUCGGGCCUUCGGCUUGGCCUUCAUUACCUGGGCAACUCACAUUUAUUUGGAAUCCGCAGAGAUAUUGGUUUCCGACAUAUAUGUUAGGGUCGGUGAAUGUGUCCAUCGGAAUUCUUCCUGAGAAGUUGUUGUACGAUAUGUUCCAGAUUUCCAAGAAGCUUAAGUCGGACAAGCUAGAAGGAAUUGCUCCUGAUAACUUGUUUCUCGACAAGUCCAGAUAUAAUAGUUGCGUCAGAUCGCCGAUCUUGAAAGGUAUUUGUCCUGUUAGAUCAUUACUCGACAAGUUGAAUAUCAACAAUCCCAGAAGAUUUGUUAGUUCAUCGGGUAUGCGUCCCGACAAGCUAUUCCUAGAGAGAUCCAAGAUCGUCAUCUGCAAAAGAAGAUCACUACCAUAUUGAUCUUCUCUUCCUUUGAUGUCCAAUAUCAUAUUCUCAUCAUGAAUACCAAUUGUGCUGUUUAGGAUAGGUCCAAUGUUUGUAUGAGGGUUCCUCAUAGCCAUGAAGUUGCCGAAGGUCAUCGGUAUCGGCCCUGAAAGAUUGUUGUUUGAGAGGUCUAAGAUUCGGAGAGCAGUAAGAUUAGAGAGUUCUGUUGGAAUUCGGCCGACAAACUUGUUUGAUUUCAAGCUAAGAAUCUUGAGAGACGAGAGCUCUCCAAGCCAGAUUGGUAUCCUUCCUGUAAACAUGUUACCGCCAAGAUCAAGAGUAUCCAGCAUCUUGCAGGUCUUUAAGGAUGAGGGAAGCUCUCCAGAUAAACUGUUUUUCCUUAGGUGCAAUGAUCGAAACUGAGGCGAUUCACAAAGCCAUUCGGGUAUUCCUCCAGAAAGAUUAUUAUUUGAAAGAUCCAAAACUUCUAAUUGAGUAUUAUUUUGACAGUUUGGGAGCUCUCCUGAUAAAUUAUUGUUUGAGAUUGAUCUGGUAAUCAAUUGUGAACUACAAAUAGACAUGGGGAUCCUGCCAUUUAUUCUAUUCCUCGACAACAAAAGCGCACUUAAAUUAGGCAUUAGCUGGAAAAUAUCAUCAGGAAUAGGGCCCAUAAAUGAAUUGCUUGACAAAUCUAGUUGUGCCGUGUUUGACGGAAAACGUGGCACUGGUCCCUCAAAGAAGUUGGAACUUAAAUCAAUAAAUAAAUCUGUAUCAGCCCUGAAUUUUAUUAAGUUGGGUAUCACACCAUGUAGCUCAUUAUUAGCGAGAUAAACAGUAGAAAGAUUGGUCAUUGAGUUCCAAAACCAAUUUGGCACUGAAUCUGAAAUCCCCGUGGAAGAUAGAUCGAGGCUGGCUAGAGACUUCUGAGUAUGAAGCCAUGAGGGAAACUGGGGGCCUAGUUUACAGCCACGGAAGACCAAAUCACUGAGUUGGAAAGGAGGAACCCAAUUGUUGCUCAGAUUCAAAACCAACGAGUUAGAAGUCAGGUCGAUGAUCUCCAACUUUGUAAGAUUAGAAAAAUGAUAUUCUGAAAUAACUCCGAUGAGAGCGUUGGAGCUAAGAUCCAAAGAUUUUACCUCACUAAGGUUUCCAAGACAUUCCGGAACAGUGCCAUUUAGCUUAUUGUUAUAAAAAGCGAACACCUGUAAGGUGGAUAGUUUACAAAAAGAGGUGGGGAUUGAACCGGAAAGUGAGUUCAAUGAAAGAUCAAGAAUAUUUAGAUUGUUCAGGUCACUGAUCCAAUCCGGCAUGUUGCCACUUAGAGAUGUGCUACUUAAGUACAACUCUCGCAAGCUAUUUUGGAGACAUCCAGAAAAAGACUCUUUGAGUGCAUCUAACCGGGAAUUAAUUGUGGAACCUGAAAAAUCUAGUGUGCGAAGCUCACAGAGAUUGCCCAAACUAGACGGCACCCCGGCAUCGAAGUCAACAUUGCCCAGUUCAAGCACCUUUAGAGAAGCCAAGUUUCCAAUUGCAGAUGGAAUGAGCUCUGCAAAUCCACUUGAAGUGAGAUAAAGAUAUUGAAGGGAAGUAAUUCUAAACAACCAGUCGGGUAAGCUAGAAUUUACUUCGCUGUUAUUAGGAUAAUCAUCAAGUGACGUGUAAGAAAGAUCCAAAAGGGAAAGAGAGGUAAAAUUGACAUGCGGGAGAGAUUGUGGAAAGUUAACAAGUUGGCACUGCUGCAAACGAAUGUCUUGUACUAAAGGAAGCAUGUUCAAUGCUUGUAGGCAAUUAGACGUAUUCUCAAUCGAAGAAUAGCUCAUAUCAAUAUGAAGUAGAGAGGUGAGUCGAGAAAGCCAAUUAGCGUUACUCAAUGUAAGUGGAUUACCAGAAAGAUCCAGAAUUUGAAGUCUUGAGAGAUUUCCGAGCUGAUCGGGUACCGUCCCAAAAAAAUACGACUGAGAUAUGUUAAGAUAGUUUAACUUCUCGAACGAACCGAUCCACUGGGGAAUCGAUAUGCCUGCAAAGUAAUUGCUGCUGAGAUCCAAAUAGCUCAGUUGCUUAAGACGGAGCAAAGAAGGAUUGAUUUUGUUGCCGACAAGUUCUCUCCCUUGAAGAUCUAAAUGCACGAUGUGUCCGGUUCGGUUGUCGCACUCCACGCCUUCCCAUUUGCAGCAAUUUUUUCCCUCCCAAGAAAAGAAGACAGCUGCAGUUCGGUUGAAACCUCCGGCAAACCUCAGAAGUGCUUCCCUCUCGGCAUCUGGGCAACUCAUAUUAGAAGAUUUGAAUGCCACAGCAUAUGCAAACGAGAGGAACAACAGCAAAGCUCUUUUUAUUGCUUUGUAAUAAUCCAUUCUCAGAAUUUCUUCUUCUUCUUCUUCUUUUUUUUCUUUUUUUUUUUUUUUUUUUUUUUGUUUUCCCCGAUUUUUUUUUCUUUUUUUUUAGCAGUGCCUCACGUUGGAUUUAUAGUUACCAAAGCUUAUAGGCUAAAAAGUCAGUCAACACGAAGUUGCACCGAAAUGCCACCAUAAAAUGCUUCCCACUUUGUUGACGAGGGUGUUUAAUUUUCCAAGAUGACUUAGACUUCACCAUUAUGGAAAAGCCGAAAGCUAAUUUAAUAAAGAGACAAUCUAUAAUAUCUAUAAUCUAUAAUAACAUACAUGAAUUCUCAGUUUUGGAACAGGUGGCGAGCGUGGAGGCGUGGGCAGGGGCGAGCGCGGGGCGCGGGCAGGCGGGCGCGCGUGGCGGGGCGCCUCGUGGCGCGGGCACGCGGGGCGCGGGCAGGAAGCGCGAGCCGGCGCAAGGCGCGGCGGGACAGGUGGCGGCGAGCGAAGCGCGGCAGGGGCGAGCGUGGGGCGCGGGCCGGCGGGCGUGCGUGGCGGGGCCGCCGCGUGGCGCGGGCGAGCGGGCUGCGCGGCAGGCGGCACGUGGGCGGGCCACGUGCGCGGGGGAGAGGAGAGGGAGAGGAGAGGAGAGGCGGGCGCACGUGGGCGCGGGCGCGCGGGGCGCGCGCAGGCGGGCGAGCUCGCGGGCCGCCGCGUGCGCGGGCGAGAGGACGGGGAGAGGAGAGGAGAGGAGCGAGAGGAGAGGCGGGCCCAGCUAGGAGAGCAGAGAAGGUAGAGAGAAGGGAUUUUUUUUUUUUUUUUUUUGUCUCUUUUUGUCUCUUUCUACUUUUUCUUUUUUAUUUUUAUUUUAUAAUAUUGUUCUCUUAAUAUAUGAUUAAAAAAUUUAUAAAUUUUUUAAUUCAAUUAAAAUUUUAUUUAUUUUUAUAAAAAUUUAAAAUAUAUAAAUAAUUUUAAAUAAGUUAAUUAUUUGUAUUCAAUAUAAAUUUUAAUUAAGAUGAAUUAAAGAAUUAUUAAAAAUAGAUAAAAAAUAAGGAAGGAUUUAAAAAUGAAACAUUAAAAAAGUAAAAAAAAUAAAAAUAAAAGAAUAAGAUAGAUAGAAGAAAGAAUAGAGAGCAAAAUGUAAGAACAAUAAAUUAAUUUUUCUAAAAAUUAUAUAUAAUUAUAAUAAUAAUUAUAAUAUAUAUAAUUAUAAAUAUAAUUAUAUAUAAUUUCUUAUUAGUAUGAUUUUUAUCUUUAUUUUUUUAAUCUUUCUUAUAAUUUAUUUUUAUAAUUUUAUUACAGCAAUAGUUGUUUAUUUUUUAGUUAUUUUUUUAUAUAAUUUUUUGACUCCUUAUUUUUAUUAUUAUUUAUUUUAUUUAUAUAUUUAUUUCUGCAAAAUCAUCCCGCCGCAACGCGCGGGUCCUUCACUAGUUAUCAAUAUAUCCCUCUCAAAUUCUCACCUGUUAUAUAUUGCGCUGAAAAACAUCUGUUCCUAAAUAUAUCUUCCAAAAUUUUUAAAUAAAAAUUAAAAGAAAAUCAAAUCCUUGGAUUCGGUUGGGUCUGAAUAAUUAAUAUACUAUAUACCAAUAUUCUAAAAGGAAAUAUGUAAAAAAAACAUACCCUGUCAUUUAACAUCCGGGCGGCACUCGAUCUACAUAUUUAAGUUAUUAAUGCACUUAUUGGGUCUAUUUGAACGAAUUUGAAUAGUGGCUGCCCACAUAAGCUCGAGUAUGGAUAAGGAUGUCCAGUACGGAUAUCCGAAAUUUUAUCCGAAACCAAAUCUGAAAAGAACGAAUUUAUUCAAUUCUAAACGGAAAUAGUUUUGGAUAUGAAUAUAAGAAACAAAAACUCAAAUAAUUUGGAUUCAGAUAUGAAUUUAUUUAUAUAUUUUUUGAAUUAUACUUUAAAAAUUUAGAUUUAAUGUUAUAUAUUUUAAAAUAUUGUAAAUAGAAAUAAUUGUUUCGGGUUCGGGUUUGGGCUCUGGUUUCGAAGAAGUUUAGGUAGGGCUGGCAAACGAGCGAGCCGGCUCGCGUUCGACUCGUGUUCGGCUCGAUAUUUGGCUUGCUCGAGCUCGACUCGAAAUUAAAUGAGCCGAGUUUGAACAAAAUAAAAGGCUCGAAAUUCAUUUCAAGCCGAGCUUGAGUAUUACUCGGCUCGUUCGAAUUAGGCUCGAAAAGCUCGAAAAGCUCGAAAAGCUCGAAAAUAUAUAUAUAUAUAUAUAUAGGCCGGGGCUACUAUACUCUUAUGAGUAUAGACCCCCUUGUACUCAUAAAUUUUUAACCGUUGAUUGAUGGGAUGUGUGGUUAGGAUGAUGGUGGUCCCACUUAAAAUGAUAGUGGUCCCCUAGAGUUGAGUGGGUAGUUGGUUGAAUAGUAUGAUCUAACGGAUGGAAAUGAUCAGUGAAAUAAAUCUAAGGGCCGAAAACUUAUGAGUAUAAAAGAGCCAAUACUCAUAAAAGUACAGUAGCCGGACUCUAUAGAUAUUUAUAUAUAUAUAUAUAAUGUAUUUUAAUUAUAUAUAGGCUUUAAUUUAAUUUGGGCCAUUAUUGUUGGCCCAUAAAAUAAACCCAACAAGUACAACCGUGCAAUUGAGCCCAACUCUAAAUUUACAUAACACACUCUCUCUUUCAGACUUUCACUGUUGCACAUAACCCUAAAAUAUGAUAAUAUUCAAAUUUCCAAAUCCCUAAUUUUUUUUCCUCUCUCUCUCUCUCUCUCUCUCUCUGACCCUCACCCAGUCAGGCAGUCACCCUAGCUCACAUUUCUUACAAUUAUUUUGUAUUUUGAACUAUUGAACAUAUUGUAUCAAAUUAUAGGUAAUGUUCUAUAAAAAUUAAACUAUUGAUUAUAUUAUGUCGAGAAUUUCAAUCGGCUCGUUUAGAGCUCGAGCUCGGCUCGACUCGAAAUUAGGCUCGCUCGAGUUCGGCUCGAAUUAAUUUCAAGCCGAGCUUGAGCCUAGAUUUAAGCUCGAAAUUAAUUUCAAGCCGAAUUUGAGAUGACAUAAGCUCGCUCGAGCUCGGCUCGUUUCCACCCCUAAGUUUAGGUCGGGGUCGUGUUUGGAUAUAGAUUUUUAAAAUCCAUCGGAUUGGGUUUAGAUUCGGGUUUCGGGUUUGGUAGUCGGGUUUGGAUUCAGUUUUUUGAAAAUUUGCUCUAAAUCCAACCCGUUGACAUCUCUAGGUACAGAUCGGACAAGGAUCGAGUCUAGAUCGAGUACAGAAACCUCUAUAUGUAUAUAUUGUAUAAAGCACAAAUAUUUAUUCUAUGGUAAGUGUAAAAUAAAAAUAUAAAUUUAUAAUAGAUACACCAUAAGUUCAAAACACAUGCAUGUAUUUUUUUGAGAAAAAGGUAGCACGCUACCUGCUUCAUUCAUUUAGAGGAUGAAUUAGGCUUACAUAAUGGAGGCAACCGGGGCCUCCGACGGGAGAAAGAGCGUCAAAAGCCAGAAAAACAAAGACAAGAAACGAAAACGACAAGAGACUAAAACCAAAAAAAAGAAGGAAAUGAGGGUAAGGGAAGCGAAAGCGACAAAUAACUAAAACCAAAAGAGGAAGAAAGAAAGUGUAAAAGCGACAGGCGUCAAACAGCAGGGAUCCAGCAGGGUCAACAAGGAGCGAUCCAGGUGUCAAGCAGCAGUUUUGCCCGUUCCAGGCACCGAGUAGGGUUGGGGGCAAUCUCUCGAAAGAUUAAACUAUUCCUUUUCGUCCAAACGACUCACCAAAUGGCAGAAAGGAGGGAGGGGGAAAUAAGUCUCUCUUUGGCGUCUCUUAGAUCAAUAAGUUUAGACCAGAGGUCUCUCACAUCGUCCGAGGGAUCAGUCAGAGCCUCCAAGCCGCCUACGCUCAGCAAAAUAAAGCGAACAAAGACACAGGAGCUUAUGAGGUGGUCGCAACUUUCCAAAUUAACGGCACAGAAAAAACAUGUUUGAUCCGCUAGCCACCCUUGCUUAUGGAGCCUGUCUGCAGUGGGGAUCCUCUUACGAAGUAGUAGCCAUAGGAAUACUUUGAUCUUGCCAGGGAUAUUCAAUUUCCAGAUAUGUUGACUUAGGGGGUCCACCAUGCCUGAGUCCGUGAGAAAGUGAUAAAGGGAUCUGACUGAAAACUUUUGGUUGGAGGUCCAACGCCAUUUGAUUAGGUCCGGAAGCUGAGUUGGCCGGAUGGGCCGAAGCAAGUCCAUAAGCAGGCCCUUUUGUCUAUGAUAGUUCACAGGUAGAGGCCCUGCUGGACCGCGGCAGAUAUAUUGCCACCGCCAGCCAUUAGGGCCCCAGCACUGAGCAAUAGUUGUCUCCUUGUUUCGGGUAUGACCGUAGAUGUCGGGGAAGAGAGUACGAAGGGGAGCCUCGCCGUACCAAAUUGAUGACCAAAUCUUAAUAUCUUUGCCGUUUCCGAGGUUGUAGGUUGUACCGCAUUUAAAGAUGUCCCGGCAUCGCAUUACACUUUUCCACCACUGAGAAUAUGGCACAAAGGCCCUGCCCUCAUGAAGAGGUUUGCGUCUAAUAUAAUAAAUCGAUUUGACUAACUUCUUCCAAGGUAGAUCUGGUUCGCUAAAGAAGCGCCACCACCAUUUAGUUAAAACCGCUGUAUUCAUAGUUGCCAAAUCCUUGAUUCCUAGGCCUCCUUCUUUUUUGCUUUUGCAGACUGCCCUCCAAUUUACGAGGCAUGCCCCUCCAGAUAUGUUUGUGCAUCCGCACCAAAAGAAAGCUCUCCUCAAGGCUUCAAUUCGGCGCAGAGCCCAUUGUGGAGCUUUAAAGACGGAGAGGAAGUGAAGUGGCAGAUUUGAAAGGACAGAGUUCACGAGGAUCAACCUCCCUCCUUGGGAGAGGAGCUUGGCCUUCCACCUUUCAAUUCUCUUAUAAUGCGGUUGAUAAUGAUCGACCAGUCCUCUUUUCGCAAAGAUCUAUUGCAAAGGGGUAGUCCCAGAUAGCGGAUAGGGAGGCUUCCAACUUGGCAGCCCAGGAUGUUAGCAAGCCUGGUAGCUCUAGAGGUGUUUGAGCCCAGGUAGUACAGUUCGGACUUGUCCAUAUUGAUUUGGAGUCCAGAGGCCCAUUCAUAAAAUUUCCAUAAGAAACGCAAAUUUCGCAGGAUAAAUUUCCUAGGCUCGCAGAAGAAGAUCGUGUCGUCGGCAAAUUGAAUCAGAAUAGUUUGACAGUCCGAAGUUGGGCCGAUUCCCCGAAGAAAGCUAUUCCUGCAGGCCAUGUCGGAAAGUCUGGAAAGACAAUCUGCAACAAUCAAGAAGAGAUAGGGGGAGAGAGGGUCGCCUUGCCGAAGACCCCUUCGUGUUUUCAGCCAGUUUGUAGGAGUGUCGUUCACAAGGAUGGCUAUUUUGGCGUUACAGACGCACUGUUCAAUCCAGGACCACCAUUUUUCACUAAACCCGAGCCAAAGCAUGAUUCCUUUCAGAAAGGGCCACCGAACGUUGUUGAAAGCCUUUUCAAAGUCUGCUUUGAGACUGACGCAUUCCUUCCUAGUUUUGGAGCACAAACUGAUUAGUUUGCAGGCGUUGACGAACGAGUCCGCAAGCAGUCGGUCUUUGAGGAAGGCCGAUUGGGAAGGAGAAAUAAUAGACGGUAGAACCAGGGCAAUCCUAUUCGCAAGAACUUUGGAAAUAAUUUUCUGGAUGCCGUUGAUGAGACUAAUUGGGCGAAAAUCCUUGGCCUGGCACGCGCUUUCUUUCUUGGGAAUGAGGCAGAUGAAGGAGUAGUCAAUCGGGGCUGUGGAAAGCGUGCCCCCUUGGAGAUCAAUGAAAAUCUUGUAAAUGUCGUCUUUAACGGUUUCCCAAAAAGUUUGGUAGAAGAUAAGUGGAAACCCAUUAGGUCCAGGAGCUUUAUCACUACCAAGUUGAAAAGUAGUAGCCUUAACUUCCUCCAUGUCGAAGGGGGCAGUUAGACACUCAGGUUGUAGUAGCGUGUUGGAUUGGAAGAGAGCGCUCCAAUCCCCGAAGGAGGAAGGUCCGUUCUCUGCCUGACCGAACAAUCGGUGGAAAUACUGAUAGAAAAAGUAUCUUUUGUGAUCCUCCGUGUUUAACAGUCUCCCAGUGUCAUCUUCUAUUACUUCAAUGGGGUUGGUGCGUUUCCUUCCGUUGGCCACAGCAUGGAAGUACUUGGUAUUAGCGUCCCCCUCCUUGAGCCAUAAUUGUUUGGACCUGGUUUUCCAGAGGACUUCCUCUUCUUCCAAAAUCUGUGUGAGGUUUGAUUUGAUACGUUCUCUCUUAUCGUGGAGAUCUAAGCUCAGAUCUUGGAGCUCUUCCAUCUGAUCAAUGGACUGAAGCUCAUCCAGAAGGGACUUCUUAGCUACGGUAAUAUUGUAAAAGUUCGAUUUGCACCAUUCCUUCAUACGAACUCUGCAGUGCCUCAGUUUAGCAGCAAUAGUGAGGAUCGCUGAUCCUUUAGGACUGACUUCGUUCCACCAUGUGGUACUUUGGAGAUAAAAUCCUCUUUCGUGAGCCAGACUUUCUCAAAACGAAAUCUACGCGUCGGAGGUGGGAGCCUAGAGUAGAGGAGGAUCGGAGUAUGAUCAGAGGUGAUUCUAGGGAAGGCUUUGGCCUUGCACAGUGGGUGAGAGAGGUCCCAUUCCGUGGAGACGAGGAACCUGUCUAGUUUUGCCAUGGUGGGUUGACGAUACAUGUUAGACCAAGUGAAGCUUUGAUUUGAAAGCGGAACAUCAAUGACCUUUAGGUUAUUGAUAAGAUCCGAGAACAUCUCCAUGGAUUUUCUACUCCAAGUACGUCCACUCCUUUCGGUUUGAUUUCUGGUGAAGUUAAAAUCCCCACAGAUGACCCAGCUGGUGCAGCAAAUAUCUUUGAGGGAAGCCAAUUCAGAACAGAAGGCGUCCUUACCCUCCCAGGUGGGGGGUCCGUAAACAUUAGUGAUGAAGAAGGUCGAGCCGCUCGCGUGAUGGGAGAGGCGUAUGGUAAGAGAGUACGAUCGAACAAUAACUUCUAGCCCAGCAAAGUAACUCGAGCACCAAUAGAUAAUAAGACCUCCUGAGGCCCCGACGACCGGCAAAAAGUGACAUUUAUCAAAACUAGAGCCACAACAUGAUCUAAGAAAAGACCGAGAUACAGAGUCGACUUUAGUUUCCUGGAGACAGACAACUGCACGGUAGUGCCUAGACACGAUAGAUUUAACUAGACAUCUUUUACGAGGAUCAUUGAGACCUCGAACGUUCCAACUAAGAAAGGAAGACAUCAAAAAGAGACGAUCCCCUUAGGAGCAACAUCAGAACAGUAAAAGGGAGAGAAACUAAGUUAAAUUAGACCCCGACGGACAGGAAGUUCUGAAGAUCCUUCGCUUCAGCAUCAGAUAUCGCUACUCCAAGCAGAAGACUCUUCUUCUUGAUUUUAGAGCGAGACAGAUUACGAGCGGAGCGGCCUGGUUCAGACGAGGAUCCUUCCAAUAGUUUAGCUUUCCUGUUCGUUGCUCGCUCGAGCACGUUGACAUCCGUCAGAUUCGAGAGUCUGGCGCUUACCUUAAGGGAGGUUAGGGCUCCGCCAGUCAGUUGGGAGGGGGAGGGCUCAGCAGAGUGGAGGGGGGGAGCAUGCUGGUAGGACAGAAGGAGCCCAAGGCCGGGCCACAGGAGGUAGGCAAGGUGGGAGGCAGCAAGUAGUCUCCGACCCCCGGGGAGGGAAGGCGCGUCAUGGGAGGGAGGGCGAGCCGGGGGGGCUUCGGGCUGGCAUGAGAGCUCAGGGGGUUCAAGCCCGGACUGAGGGAGCACCGAUCAGGGGAGCCCGAGGCCGGACUGUCCAGGGCGAGGCCCACGUUGGGUCCACAGAUGGGUUCCAGCAAGCGGAGGAGGCGGGCCGGGGGAAAAUCUGGCCGCGACCGGGGCCCCAGCCCAGGGGUACGGGCUGGCGAGAAGCCACAGUGCCAGCCGGGGGAGCCGCUCGACCUAGGCGGGGAGCACAGGCAGGCGCGGAGCUCGAUCGCGGGGAGCUGCGGACUGCCGCGGGAGGUGCUCGGCCAUGCGAGGAGGCUCGGCCGACAGUGAGGGAUCGCGUAGUCCAGGGUCAGAGGGAGCACUCAGGCAAGAUCAGGCCGAGCCGGCUCAUCCAAGGCCAGGCCUCAAGUUGGGCUCCACAGAUUGGUUCGAGCAGGCGUGGGAGCUCGGUAACCGGCGGGGGACUCGCGGCGGGGGAGCUUGGAACCUGGCGGGUAGGGCUCGGGCCGGCGGAGGAGGAGCUCGGCCGAGCGGGGAGCUUGGACCGGCGAGGGCUCGGGCCGUCGGAAGGUCCUAGAGUCCGAACAGAGGGAGCACAAGCAGAAAGGCAGAUGCGGCGGGGGACUUCGGACCGACGGGGGAGCACAGGCGCGGAUCGGUGAGAGCUCGGGCCGCGCUGGGUGGAUGCUCGAAACCGCUGGGGGAGCCGACACCGCAGGAGUGGCUCGUGGCGGCAAGUGUAAUAUACGAAAAAUUUCGGGUUGCGAUGCUAAUUUUAAUCUGGAAUAUUAAAGUGAAAUGUGAAUUGGAUGUGCAUCAUUCCAGAGUGUUUCUGGACGUGUGGGAAUGAUCUCUGGAGGUAAUUGGGUAUUCGGGCACAAAUCGGGCGCGAAAUGAACUUGAAAGGGAAUUUUCGGAUUAUGACGCUAACUUUAACCUACGCGAUCAAAGUGAGAUAUGAAUGUUAAUUAUAGUACCUCCGAAUUAUUUUGGAAGUGCGAGGAUAGUUAAUGACAAAUUCCGGAGAUGCUUGGAUGUUAAAAAAAUAAAAAAAAAGUCGGAUUUUGAUUACAUUGUUAAAUUUGGAACAAGUUGGUCGAAGUAAGGCCAAAAUAAAAUUAAUUUGCUUUCGAGCUUAAUUAGUAGCUUCGGCAUAGUGUUUAGUAUGAUUUGGAAGUGAUUAGAAAUAUUCGAGGCGAGGCAAGGUGGAAGAACGAAAUGGGUUGAUAAUGCUGCUGCUGCCAGAAAAUUCUGCAAGUGCAGAUUUUGCAUUGUGUACCUCAGUGAGGUACAGGUGUGUACCUCAGUGAGGUACAGGCCUUUAAAACCUGCAGCAGGGCUGAAAUGUACUUAUGUUGAAUUGAGGGGUUAAGUUGCAAUUUGUCAAGCUUAUCACCUAUUUCCAGCUGAGUGGCAUGUGUCCACGUAAUUGGACCCAACUCCUCUUCACUGGUUCUCAUCUUUAUCCCCUUCCUUAUCUCUUUACAAGCUUAGGGGAAUUGGUGGAGAGGGUGACAGCUUGGGUGUUUGAGGUUGUGACGAGUAGGGAAACCAGCAGAGGAGAAGUUAUAAUCAGAGGUAAGAGAUGGUUUCCAAUUAAUAAUCAAGUUAAAUGCACUAAGAGAGGUUCUCUAAGGUAAUUAAACUUGGUGUUAUGCUGUAGAUUAAUUGGAAGCUAUACAAGAGAAGGAAGUUGUUAAAGUGCUACCUUGGUAGAAAGGCUGCCAAGGAAGCUAAUGAAGCAGAAUUUAAGAUGUUGGAGCUGCCGAAUUGGAGCUGCCGCUGAGGAAGCUUUAGAACAAAAUUUUAAGUUGUUGGAAUUGAAAGUAACCAGAGGGAUUAUCAAAUUAAGGUAAAGUGUACUCGAUAAUUAAUUACAGUUCAUGUAAUUUCAUUAAAGAGGAGUUACAACAUUGAGGUUUGCUGCUGAAAUUGGCAGAUUUAGUGUGUAGGGCUUGUUGAAGCUGCCGAAGUGAGAAAUUCAACCUGGGAAGCUUUGAACCUGAGGUAAUUAAUGACUUCUCAGCGAGGGUCUAGUUUAAUUACUCCUUAAGAGAGAGUUCUAGAUAAAGUAAGCAUGUAAAGAAGCUUAAAGGAGCCUUUAAUUGGUUCAAGUGAAUAUAUGUAUGCAGGAAAUUUUCGAAUUGAGGGAAGCAAUGGUGCAGAAUUCCAGCAUGGUGCAGAUUUUGAGGUUGAGCUGAAAUUGUUGCCUUAUUAGAGCUUCUUUGGUGUCCAAACUAAAAGAGGACCAAGUGGAACUUCAAGCUCAGGUGAGAUUAAUGUAAGUUCCUGGGCUAAUGGGUGUUAAUUGUACUCUAUGCUGUAAUGACUACAAAGAGAGUAGUCAUGAGGCAGAUUUCAGCAUUGAAUUCUGUUUACUAUUGAAGCUGAUUUCUAAGUAAUUGAAGCUAAAAAAAAUGAAACUCUAGGAUGCUGGGAGCAACUUAGAAAGCUUCUAAUUCAGGUAAGAAUAGAAAUUAUCCCUGAUUUGAGUAGUGGAAUGUUAUAAAGAUAAUUUCUAAGUGAGUUGUGAAGCACAAUUUUUGAAAUUCAGCCUGAACUGAAUUUCAGCAUGAGAGGUAUUUGUUAUUGAGCUGAGAACUAUGUAAUUGGACAGCAAAUUAAGUCACUUAUAAUUAUGUUAUGAUUAGGAGUUAGAUUAGUUACUCUAGAAGAGUUCUAAGCAUAAGAACUAAUUGUUCUAUGCUUAUAAUAAAUGCUCGAAGAGGAGGUGAAAUGCUGAAAAUUCAGCAUGAAGCAAGAUUUCAGCAUAAUGCUGAAAAUUAACAUUGAGCUGAAACUUUAAGUAUUAUGGCUUCUAUGAGAUUUGCUUUAGUAAAUACUUAUGAGUAGUUGUUAAAAGGUGAAAUUGAACUAAGACCAUGAUAACUUUAUCUUAAAGUUGAUAAGAAGUUUGAGAGUGAGAUUAUACUGAUGUACAUGUGGAAAGUAUAUCUAUAUGUAUAUAAGUGCUUAGAAGUUGAAAUGCAAGUUUUGUUGAAAAUGAAUAUGACGUCGGUUUAAUCUCUCCUAUACUUAUUUGAAUGAAAGUUAAACUUGCUCGAAAGUCAAAAUUGAUAUUCCGACAGGUCGGCGACGCAUUAAUUACGGUAGAAGCCAAUUCGUCUCUAAUUGCAUCGAGUCGCGUGAUAUUGUUCUUGAUACACUUCAAGACGUGAGCUCUUAGUUGUUGACACCACUACAGGUGGGUGGUGCUAUCCGAAGUCUUUGAAUCACCUUUUAUGUCUAUGAUAAUUCAUUGAGCAUAUUUAUAUUUGUUGUCAUGCAUUAUAGGGUAUUGGCAUUGUGCAAGUGAAAGUAUGUAUUCCUAUCAAUAGUGAGAACAUGUGAACAUUAGAAUGUGAAUAUAGAACCCUAUGAAUGUAUGGACUAUAGCAAUAGUAAACUUGGUGACAUUCAACUAGAGAUUUGGUUAGCAUCGAGAAAUGGAAUUGUGAAACUAGCAUAAAGAACUAGUUAGAGUAAAGUGUAACAGUGUUUGUCAGUUGAAUCCUCUAAAAGGGGAUCAGAUCAUACUCACAUUUGUUUAGUUCAAGUGAGGUCGCUCCUCCUUGAACGAUGAGCUCCGGAGUAGUCAUCUUUACUGGACCAGGAGGUGCGUCUCCCCCAGUUGACGGUCCCAUCGGGUGCAGGUGCGUCUCCCCGAUAUUUGGGAUAGCGUCAGUGAGUAAUUGUUAACCAGAGGGUUAACCAAAAUGAAUUGGAUAAACUCAGUAAAAGCAUGCAUGCAUAUUUACAGUUUUUCUAUAUUGCUUUCUUUCAGCUUUGUACAGGUAUUGUAGUAGUUACAUAUUAUAGUUGGUUACUAUCUCAGUUUACUUUUCUUGCCUACAUAUGCCUGGAUAGACCUAGUGGGUGAGUCGGCGAGGUCGGCGGCCGAACCCACUGGGAACUUUUAGUAGUUCUCACACUACUAACCAUACAG
Molecule: long non-coding RNA, 21021 nt
Filed under: Ananas comosus (pineapple)
Lineage: Eukaryota; Viridiplantae; Streptophyta; Magnoliopsida; Poales; Bromeliaceae
Description: long non-coding RNA (ACOM_LNC006003)
Source: RNAcentral